CUCCUCCGGGACGAAGCCAUGGUUGCUCGAGCUCUCGACGGGCCAAACCCUCCUCCUCUUCCUUCCAGCGUUCGUCUCCAUGCUGCUCCGCAAUCCCUUGAUUCUCUCCUCAAUUGCAAGGUUUCUUUCUCUAUUUCUCUCGUUCAGAGCUCCUUUUUAGUCGCCAUCGACACGUCGGCGUCGGCGGCGGCGGAAACGGUCAUCUCCUCGGCCCCCUUGACUGGUCAGCAUCAGCUUUGUGGAAUUGGAAGCUAGGAACCUCAAGUAUCCAAUUACAGAGAGACUGAGGUAAAAUCGAGCAGCAAAAUUUCUAAGAGAAAAUGGAAAGCAGAUGAUGCAACUGUUGACUUGGAAAAUCGGACUUGUACUUUUUCAGUCCCUGAACAUCCUCCUUUAACCUGCUUUUCAACAAGAAGUUGAAUCAGAUGUCUGCAGAUGAUUUCAUAAAGACCAAUCGCGGAAUUGAAUGAUGGAAAGGAUUUGCCUGAAGAAUUUCUGAGAUCCUUAAAAUGAAAAAAAUCUGAAGGAAUGAAAUGACAGAAGAUGAUCCAGCUUCCCAGCAAACUCACACACUGAAUUCUAAUAAAAUGUUAGGAUUGGAUGAUAUUUUGCAUGUUGCAGUCCAUAAGAGAGGAGUCAUCAGGCUAAAAUCUAGUAUUUUUUUCAAUAGUUACAAGGCUUUCUUAAAUUUGUUUGAAUUAUAGCUACAUGAAAAGUAGAUGAUGUAGCUAUUAAAGUAAAUACUAAUUCUACAUUUAAUUUUGAACUUGGAAGAAUAUAUGUAUUUGAAUAUAUAUAAAUCUAAGUUUCUAGUGAGUUUU
Dioscorea cayenensis subsp. rotundata (Guinea yam) is the source of this 821-nucleotide long non-coding RNA. RefSeq lists it as uncharacterized. The transcript has 4 exons. The record is from RefSeq and is a predicted model, not a curated record. Lineage: Eukaryota; Viridiplantae; Streptophyta; Magnoliopsida; Dioscoreales; Dioscoreaceae.